GAUGAACGCUGGCGGCGUGCUUAACACAUGCAAGUCGAGCGAAGCACUUUUGCGGAUUUCUUCGGAUUGAAGCAAUUGUGACUGAGCGGGCGACGGGUGAGUACGCGUAGGUAACUGCUCAUACAGGGGGAUAACAGUUGGAAACGACUGCUAAUACCGCAUAAGCCCACAGCUCGGCAUCGAGCAGAGGGAAAAAGGAGUGAUCCGCUUUGAGAUGGCCUCGCGUCCGAUUAGCUGGUUGGUGAGGUAACGGCCCACCAAGGCGACGAUCGGUAGCCGGACUGAGAGGUUGAACGGCCACAUUGGGACUGAGACACGGCCCAG
RNAcentral lists this ribosomal RNA (324 nucleotides) under uncultured bacterium. RNAcentral's name for it is "bacterial SSU rRNA". It matches the Rfam family "Bacterial small subunit ribosomal RNA", at positions 28 to 334 of the family's 1533-position model. The record is from RNAcentral.